RNAcentral lists this ribosomal RNA (469 nucleotides) under uncultured Bacteroides sp. RNAcentral describes it as "bacterial SSU rRNA". It matches the Rfam family "Bacterial small subunit ribosomal RNA", at positions 34 to 492 of the family's 1533-position model. The record is from RNAcentral. Lineage: Bacteria; Pseudomonadati; Bacteroidota; Bacteroidia; Bacteroidales; Bacteroidaceae.
CGCUAGCCCCUGGCUUAACCCCUGCAAGUCGAGGGGCAGCGGGAUUGAAGCUUGCUUCAAUUGCCGGCGACCGGCGCACGGGUGAGUAACACGUAUCCCACCUUCCGUUUACUCCGGGAUAGCCUUUCCAAAGAAAGAUUAAUACCCGAUAGUAUGGUGAGAUUGCAUGAUAACACCAUUAAAGAUUCAUCGGUAAACGAUGGGGAUGCGUUCCAUUAGGUAGUAGGCGGGGUAACGGCCCACCUAGCCUACGAUGGAUAGGGGUUCUGAGAGGAAGGUCCCCCACAUUGGAACUGAGACACGGUCCAAACUCCUACGGGAGGCAGCAGUGAGGAAUAUUGGUCAAUGGGCGAGAGCCUGAACCAGCCAAGUAGCGUGAAGGAUGAAGGUCCUACCGAUUGUAAACUUCUUUUAUAAGGGAAUAAAACGCUCCACGUGUGGAGCCUUGUAUGUACCUUAUGAAUAAGCA